This is a long non-coding RNA of Grus americana (Whooping crane), 1882 nucleotides long. RefSeq lists it as uncharacterized. The record is from RefSeq and is a predicted model, not a curated record. The transcript has 3 exons. NCBI's taxonomy places the organism in Eukaryota, Metazoa, Chordata, Aves, Gruiformes, Gruidae.
GGAAGCUCAGCUGAGGGGCCGCCCGGCCCCGCCACGCCCGCGGCCUGCCCGCCGCCCGCCCUCCCGGAGCGGCGGUGGUUCCGAGCGCCACCCCGCCGGCCGAGCGCUCGCUUCUCUCGGACGCUCCCGAGCCAGGCCGUGCUGAGGAUGCCGUUGCCUGUUCCUCCCUUGGGGAUGCUGUUGACUGCACCCGCCUUGCGCUUGCGUGGGUUGUCUCUGCCUGGUCUCACUCUCCUCGUGGCGUGGGGAUGAAAAGGGACAGGUGGCGGAGCGCUUACCGGCUGUGGACAGGAGCUGCCCUAAGGGAAGCUGGAAAGGCCAGAGAAAGGUAAAGAAGAAGAAGAAGAAGAAAUGGAAGGCCAUCGGGCCAGCAGCUGCCUCCCGCUGCAGGCAAGAGAGAGCUUGCCUCGCUGGGUGAGGAAGGAUCCCUCUUCAUGGUCUGCGGCAGGUCAGGCUGCCAACGUGCACCACAGGGUGCCAAGGGAUGAUUUGGAUCCCCGCAGAAAAUCCUCAAGCAAGUUUUGCCGGAGCAUCCAAGUAGUGGUGAAGAAGGAGCGGUGCAUGUAGCCAGGCAUCUUCCUUGGCUUCUGCUUCCGAAUGCUAACUCUUCAGACCCAGGCGGAGCGGCGAUGCUGUUUUGAGGCACGUGGUGAGGCCGUUCCACUGCUGGCUCUAGAGUUGGGGUGAUGGCCCCUUGUGGCAGGCAGGCGGGCAGUAGAAUGGAUGUGUGAGGGGUGGAGUGAGGGUGAGGUUGUGGCUGUGCUUAACUGUGUGUGCUGGGGGGUUAUUUCAGGUUCAGCAAGUUUUGCUUUUUGAAAUUAGAAUAAAAAAACCCCAGCUGGGGGAUUUUUUUUUUUCCCUCCCUCAGCUGGGUUUUUUUCCCCUGGUCCCAGCUACUCUGCAAGGCGACAUUCAUUGCCAGAGUUUGGACGGAGGUCCGGAUCAGGCCUGGAAAUAACAAAAAAAAAAGAAUUAUCAGUAAACACCUGCUAGCAGUCACUACUUCACUAGCAACUCUAACCGCAGCAUGCCAUUAAACAGUCACCUAUUAAAUUCCUGAAAAAAAAUUUUUUUACCACCACAUGCAUAUACAAAUAUAUGCGAAUUACCCCCAUCAGCUCAAACCACACAUACAUCAUAAUGACCACAAAACAACUCGCCCACCUGACCCAACUCAUUACUGCGAAUUACUAAAAAAACCCAAACCGCCUGUAAAACCCACGCAGCCCAGACGUGAAAAAUGACAAACGGCCAACAACACGAACAUCAUCCAAAAAACCCACUACAGGUAAUAAAAAACCCAUAAAAAAACAAAAAAAAAGAAGCAUUUUUGCAGCAACACACAACAACUCCACUAAUCACCAUAAAAAUCAGGGAAAAUACUAGGACCUACAGAACCAUAGAGACGACGGCAGUCACCAUAGACAAGAAGUAAAACUUGUCCCGUCCAGCAGCAUGACGCCAGUCUCCAUGAUCCCCAGUCCUCCAAGCCCUCUAUUUAAAAAACUAUGACCGGAAAAGCUACUCCAUGGCCGGAAGUCCUCUAGGAACCAGGAAGUCCUCCAACUCCCCCGGAAACCUCUCUAUGACCAGAAGUCCUCCUGCCGGACAGCGGAACUCCGCCGUCCCACUAGAAACCUUGUCCCAAUUACCCGGAAGACCUCCAGAACGCCAACAAAACCAGUGUCUAUGACCGGAAGUCCUCCAGGGACACCGAGAGUACUCCCAUUCCGACUAGAAACACGACGCCCCGUAACCGGAAGUGCAGUAAUACACCCGGAAGUAAGCCGCUGCGAACAUUUAAAAUAAAAGCGCAGCCGAGGGCGGGGUUUAGGGUGAGGGGUGGAGCUGGGCCCGGGGGUUGCGGUUCUAGUUAGGGGUU